This 391-nucleotide ribosomal RNA is filed under the name uncultured bacterium. Its description in RNAcentral is "bacterial SSU rRNA". It matches the Rfam family "Bacterial small subunit ribosomal RNA", at positions 28 to 420 of the family's 1533-position model. The record is from RNAcentral.
GACGAACGCUGGCGGCGUGCUUAACACAUGCAAGUCGAGCGGUAAGGCCCUUUCGGGGGUACACGAGCGGCGAACGGGUGAGUAACACGUGGGUGACCUGCCUCUAGCUCUGGGAUAAGCCUGGGAAGCUGGGUCUAAUACCGGAUAUGACCUCGCGGUGCAUGUUGCGGGGUGGAAAGCCUUGUGCGGCUAGGGAUGGGCCCGCGGCCUAUCAGCUUGUUGGUGGGGUGAUGGCCUACCUAGGCGACGACGGGUAGCCGGCCUGAGAGGGCGACCGGCCACACUGGGACUGAGACACGGCCCAGACUCCUACGGGAGGCAGCAGUGGGGAAUCUUGCGCAAUGGGCGAAAGCCUGACGCAGCGACGCCGCGUGAGGGAUGACGGCCUGGU